UAGCUCAGUUGGUAGAGCAUGGUGUUUGCAACGCCAGGGGUUGUGGGUUUGAUUCCCAC
This is a non-coding RNA of Salmo salar (Atlantic salmon), 59 nucleotides long. NCBI's taxonomy places the organism in Eukaryota, Metazoa, Chordata, Actinopteri, Salmoniformes, Salmonidae. The record is from Rfam.